UAGGGGUGUAAGUGGGUCGAUUUGGGUUGGGUUUGGCCAAACCCAAGACCCGAACCAUAUAGGAUACUCCGGUUUGGGUUAGGUAAAAUAUCCACCCGUUAAAUUAAUGGGUGGGUUUGGGCAAACCCACUAAUUUCCGGUUUGGUUUUGGUUGGGUAGUGGGUUACCCAAUAUUUUUUUUUUUGUUAAUAUGAAAUGACUAAACGACG
RNAcentral lists this long non-coding RNA (209 nucleotides) under Medicago truncatula (barrel medic). RNAcentral's name for it is "long non-coding RNA (MTRU_LNC001195)". The record is from RNAcentral. Lineage: Eukaryota; Viridiplantae; Streptophyta; Magnoliopsida; Fabales; Fabaceae.